GAGUGCAUAGCUUAGUUGGGAAAAGCAGUAAACUUUUAAUUUAUCGAUUUUAGGUUCAAGUCCUAAUGCACUCA
Molecule: transfer RNA, 74 nt
Filed under: Gracilaria urvillei
Lineage: Eukaryota; Rhodophyta; Florideophyceae; Gracilariales; Gracilariaceae
Description: tRNA-Lys
Rfam family: tRNA
About the family: Transfer RNA (tRNA) molecules are approximately 80 nucleotides in length. Their secondary structure includes four short double-helical elements and three loops (D, anti-codon, and T loops).
Source: RNAcentral